Molecule: long non-coding RNA, 2018 nt
Filed under: Sorghum bicolor (sorghum)
Lineage: Eukaryota; Viridiplantae; Streptophyta; Magnoliopsida; Poales; Poaceae
Description: long non-coding RNA (SBIC_LNC010729)
Source: RNAcentral
GCUACUAUCUAGAUCUACUCUAGUUUAGAGAAGAGAGGAGAGCUCUCAUCUCUAAACCCUAGCUUUUGCUCUGUCUACGAAUAAUGAAUAAUGAUCAAGGGGUGCCUCCUCCAGGGGCCAGGGGGUCUGGUUAUAUAGUCCCGUCAAGUGAACCUGGGCUGUCGGAUCAAACCGACAUUGAUUGAACGGUUAUUCUUGAUCCUUUAGGUCGGUGGAGAUCUCCAGAGAGAAGGAGUCCUGAUUGGGCUCCAAGUCAGGGCGGGUGCCCAGGGCAGGAGGGCGGGCGCCCUGACUCUGGCCCCGUUCGGCCUCUGCUUCCUUCCCAUGGCUCCUAGAGUCCUCUAGAUGUAAGAUAAUUGCACGGCACGUUAAUAUCUCUAUGUAAUCCCGACAUGUGGGCCUUUCUUCUGUAUUUCCUGAUAACCCCCUGCAGAAAUAGACAAUCACCAAAGCUCAUGGAAUUCUGUCAGAUAAAACCCUAAGUCUAGAUGUUGAUUUCAUUUGGAUCCUUUUCUUUGUUUAUUUGAUAAUUAAAUUUGAUACUUAAGGAUUGUCAACAAACUCCCCCAAACUUACCUCUUGCUCAUCCCUGAGCAAGGAUAGACUCAGCAAUGGAUCAGAAGUUGUUGCAAUAUCUUAAAAAUUUGACGGUACACAUGCUUUAAAAUAAGAUCUCAUCUCUGAGUUAGAGUAAACUGUCAAGAACUAAAACUUACUUAGUUUACCUUUCACCAUGGGACUUGUAACCGUCACUUCUGUCUUGAGUAGUUAAAAGAUAGAACAGUCUAGCCAAGUGCCAUGUCUCUUAUUCUUGAUCAGCUAUAGCUCUGGAGUUUUUUGCAGAUUUUCAAAUAAAACUCAGAGAUUCCUUGUAUGACUCUCUAAAUGUCUCUUUUGUGGUAUUUCUGGAUCCUUACCAAGGCAGUGAUAGUAUAUGCCUUCUCUCAAGAUAUGUGGUAUUUGUGGUAUAAGGCAUAGUGACAUUGCCUUCUCUCUCACCCUACUCUAAUAAGGCUUUAAUAUCUGGAGCUCAUAGGUGGGAGACAGCUAAUACAUACUUACAAGACAUUUAUUGCAUAGUCAAACCAUGGAUCUAGAGAAACAAGUCAAUAAGUCAAAUCAAGAUGUGCAUGUGUGGCGAAUGAAUGGUGUAUGGUGAUGAUGGUGAUUACAAUGGUGGAAGUCUAAUUCUACUUUUGCUCUUUUGAGGGGAUACAUACCUUCCUUGCUUUUUGAAACUUUAUGAGGAGAAUGAGAUGCUCUAUCUUUCAUUUUUUCUUUCCUCUUAGGUGGGUAUCCUAUACCCCUAAUUCUACUGUCGGACACUUGUCCAUUUUUACCUCUCGUCUCACUCUUUUUCUUUUCUUUCGAGGUUCUAGGCACUUGACCCUUUUGAUUUCCUCAUAUAUUUUUUUCUCUCCUUUUUUUUAGAGCACUCGUCUCAUGAGAUAAUAUAGCAAGUGGUAGUAACAAGAUAACUUGAGCAUUUAUUUCACAAGGAAAAACAGAAAUAUUUUUGGUUAUUCUCUCCCGGAUUAGGAGUAGAAUAUUUUUGGGUGGUUCUGGAGAUGGAAAUGAGUGGAUAUAUGUGGAUGGUACUUCCGGAGUAGAAGUAGCAUAUAUGAGUGAAUGUGCAAGUGAAAUCUUGAUUUAACCACAUGCAAUCUCCUAAGGGUCUACACAGCUUGACCACACUCAAUGCUCAUAAGCAGUAAAUUGUAAAUGUGUGGCUCAAAGUCUAGCAAGCAUGUAUAUAUGGCUGUGGUAGGAAUUUAAACUUUCAUCAUACAGGAACUCAUCAUGCAAUAUUUUAAAGAUUUUUUAAAGAUAAAAUUCUCCAGAAUUCUAGCAUCUCUAGGAACAGAUAAACAACAGCUCAACCUUCCCAUAUCAUAUCCGUUAACAACAUAGAUUUCAGAUCAAGUUUUUAUCCCACAAGUUUAGAUCUAGAGCAAGCUUUAAAUUAUAACAGUUAUGUCUAAACUUGAGAGAGAACUUCAAAUUUGCAAAUUAGGCAG